Molecule: ribosomal RNA, 481 nt
Filed under: uncultured bacterium
Lineage: Bacteria
Description: partial 16S ribosomal RNA
Rfam family: Bacterial small subunit ribosomal RNA
Source: RNAcentral
GACGAACGCUGGCGGCGUGCUUAACACAUGCAAGUCGAACGCUGAAGCCCUUUCGGGGGUGGAUGAGUGGCGAACGGGUGAGUAACACGUGGGUAAUCUGCCCUGCACUCUGGGAUAAGCCUUGGAAACGGGGUCUAAUACCGGAUAGGACACAUCGCCGCAUGGUGUGUGUGUGGAAAGUUCCGGCGGCGCAGGUUGAGCCCGCGGCCUAUCAGCUGGUUGGUGGGGUGAUGGCCUACCAAGGCGACGACGGGUAGCCGGCCUGAGAGGGUGACCGGCCACACUGGGACUGAGACACGGCCCAGACUCCUACGGGAGGCAGCAGUGGGGAAUCUUGCGCAAUGGGCGAAAGCCUGACGCAGCAACGCCGCGUGGGGGAUGACGGCCUUCGGGUUGUAAACCUCUUUCGACCGGGACGAAGGGUGACUGACGGUACCGGUAGAAGAAGCACCGGCUAACUACGUGCCAGCAGCCGCCGUAA